UACUUAAGUGGAUUGUGAGUAACCUCCCUCUCACCCCCGCAGCAGCAGGGAGCGUGUUGAGGCUCGUCAGCAAUUUCCCAGGGUAAACGAGUUUUACUGGCCUCACACCGGGACCCCUGCUAUCUUUGCAGCUCGCCAGGUAACAGAAGGUGCAUGCAGAGUGGGAACUCGAAGCGAUAUGGCAAUUACUUCAAACCUACUGUUUUCAGAUGCAAACCUGAAGGCCUCUGCAGGCAGAGGCUCACCAUUUCCUCCUAAUCUCCCGGAGACUGCAGCAAGGAAUAGUGCUGGUGGAGAAUGCUGUCAGACCUGCGGAGUUUUUCCAGCAUUUUCUGUUUUUAUUUCACCAGACUAAUCCCUGGGAUGGCAGGAUUGUCUUAGGAUGAAGCAGUAAACAAGAAACCAGAAUGAAGAAAGCCUUUAAUUAGACCUGACAGCACCAUAAUGGAAAUUCAGGACAUUGUUAGACCAUGUAGAAGUUCGAAUUAAGAAUUCUAGCCCAAUAAAUUUGC
Molecule: long non-coding RNA, 512 nt
Organism: Carcharodon carcharias (great white shark)
Lineage: Eukaryota; Metazoa; Chordata; Chondrichthyes; Lamniformes; Lamnidae
Exons: 3
Source: RefSeq, a predicted model, not a curated record